Long non-coding RNA from Alnus glutinosa, 3153 nucleotides. RefSeq lists it as uncharacterized. NCBI's taxonomy places the organism in Eukaryota, Viridiplantae, Streptophyta, Magnoliopsida, Fagales, Betulaceae. The transcript is spliced from 2 exons. The record is from RefSeq and is a predicted model, not a curated record.
UCUCACACCUCUUACUUUCUUUUCUUCUUUUUCUCUCCUCUUCCCCCUCCCCCGAUCCCUUCUCUUCUUCCUUCCUCUUCUUUUUCUCUCUUCUUCUCCCUUCCUCCCUCACUGUCACACUCCAGCCGACAGCCCCUUCUUUCUCCCUUCUCUCCCUCUUUCACGCAUAGCCCCUCCCUUGUUUUCCUCUUCCCUUAUCGGCUAAAUCUCCUCUCCCUCUCCCUGUUCUGCAUGGCCCAGCAGCCCACCCGAACCCUCUCUACCUCUCCCUCUCCUUCUGUCUGACUCACCCACCCACACACACACUGGUUGCAAACCCAGACCGUUCCCAUUUCUUUUCCCUCUCUUCCCUCCACAUCACACACACGCACACCCAAGAGAGAUCGAUCGAGGGAGAUCAUCGCCGUGAGAGAUGCUGGCCGUGUUGUUGAAGAAGAAAAGUUGAAGGAGAAGAAAACUGGGAUUUCGGCCAUAGGGGAAAAAUCACGAAAUCAUGUUAGGAUCCAAACUCCACUUUGUGAUUUCUUUAUACCUGUUUAAGCAAGAGCUAAAUUAUUGGAUCUCUUGUGCUUGAACCAAUUGUGGGAAUCAGUUUUAGGUCUUAUUUGAGUGAUUGAUUGUUGAGGGUAACCGAAUGGGUCAUGGGUGUUUGAUUUUAUUAUGAUUUUGGCAGUUCCUUGUCUUGAGUUGAUUAUGGGUGUUGUUGGGUAAAACUGGUUGGGAAUCUUGAAUUUUUGAAGCUACAACUGAUUUGGUAUUUUGGAUUAUUGAUUCUUGACCGAAUCAGUGAGUUCUUGGAUGUUGGGUAGAUGCUCUUGUUAUAGUUGUGUGCCUUGUUAAGUUAUAUGAUAUUUUGGAAAUAUUUGAUGUCUGUUUUGGUUCACAGAAUGAGUUGUUAAUUUUGAACAUAUACUUAGCCUUGAAGAUGGAUUUUGGUUGAUUAGGCUUUUGAUUUUGUAGUUCCUGUAAUCCAUGGGCCUUAGCCGAUUGGGUGGUUUUCUUGGUGUGUUUGAGUCUUCAAUGGUUGUCUUAGAUGGUGAUUUUAUGGGUGCCUCUAGGGAUUUCGAGUUUGUGAUAAUAUAUUUAUGUUUUGAUAAUUCUAGUCAGGUUUUGGUUUGUAUUUUAAAAUCAUGGUUGAUGGAACCUUUGGAGUUUAACCUAAGUUGGAAUCUUGGAGUUUUUAUGAUUAUUGGUUUAGAAGAUUAAUUUUAUAGGGAUUGUUGUUGUUGUGGAAAAUUCUGGUUGGGGUUCUUUGGGUUGGCCGAAUGGUGUUUAUUUUAUGGGUUUUGAUUCUUGAUUUUUGUAACCUAUGAUUAAUGCUUUAAUGUAAGUGGUUGAUGUUUGAAUGAAAAGUGAUUAUGAAGGGUAAUUUGAUGGAAAUUCAGAUCUGGUUUGUGUUUGUAAAUUGGGGGAUAAUGGUGUUAAUUUAUGGUUAAUGCCCUAUGGUAGAUUAUAGAAUAUUGGGUUGGAUUAGAUCCAAUUUUGGAAAGGAAUUUGGUGAAUGAUUGAGGUUUAUGAUUGUUGAAGUUUUGAUAGUUUGAUGUGAAGAAUUUUAGAGCUUAGCUUGGUGAUUUAUAGUUGAGCUUUGAGGAAUAUAUGGGCUAAUUUUUAUGAGUGAUUUAAUGGAAUUCAACUCUGAUUUGGAUUAGUAGUUUAAUGAUGCAUGAUUAAUGUUUAUGUGAUAGGGAUUGAGGUUAAUGUUUGUGGUUGAUUGAUUGGUAUUUUGGUGUUGAUUUGGAGUGAACUAUGAUGUUAAAGUUAAUGUGUUAGAUCCUCUUGGUGUAAAUGACAAACGGGAUGAAAAUAGAGAAUGGGUUAAUAGUACUAUAUGUUAGUAUUUUGGCCUCAUUCUGUGUUUGGACAAAAUCACUUAAGUGUAAAGAUGCUGUAAACAGGGAUUCCACUAUUCAGAGUCUGCAAGUCAGAAGCAAUUCAAGUUCCCUGUCAGCCAUCCGAACGAUCGAGCCAUCCCGUCUGGACGCCCAUCUGUCCACUGUUCCAUCUGUCCGGACGACGUGUCAUCCCGUCCGGACGCUAGACAGACCAGCAUCGUCCGUCCGGACGAAGUGUUCAUUCCGUCCGGACCCCAUACUGUAUCGAGAAGUUUCUGUGCCAGCUUGCAUCCGUCCGGAAGUUUCAGCAUCACGUCUGGACGCCUCCUAGUACUCGAUCAGCUUCUGAUUUCUUUCCAAGUUCCAAGAAAGGGAAGAACAGUCAACCGUCUGGACGAAGUGGUAUCCCGUCCGGACGCGCGUCUCCUUAAGGCAAGAAUCACAAUUCAAAUAUGACCGUCCGGACGUCUGACAGCUGUGUUCCGGACGUGCGUGCAUCAAAGAAGGAAAUUGUUGAUUCGACUUCAACCGUCCGGACGACUGCCUAUCAUGGUCCGGACGCGCGCAUUACCGAUAUGGAAAUUGCGUGUUGAAGAAUAGCCGUCCGGACACUGGAGUACCUUAUAAGGAAAUUACUUGCAGCGGACGUGCGACCGUCCGGACGAUGUGCCAUCCCGUCCGGACGAUGUCCUCAAACAGGAAAGAUUUCCAGCGAAAUUUUCGGAAAAUCUUGUCGCACAGUUGUCCAUCCGGACUGCCCAUGUCCACCGUCCGGACGGUGCCCAGGUAUAUUUUGCCUAACGCUCAUUUGAGCCCCCAGCCUAUAAAUAGAGGCCCCUGGGCACUGAGAACUGCAAGAAUUCAGUGUGAAUUCCAUUAGAGCUCAGAGAAGUCAUCAAUCCCUCUAAAGCCGUUUUACAAGUGUGUUGUGCUAUAAACCGAAGUCUAUCUUAGAGGUCGGCUCUAAGGUAAGGAGUUCCAUUGAAGACUCCUUCAGGUAGGUGAACCUGGUUGGGAAGCGUUCGUGUUGGGUUACACGUCAGAGAUCAAGAUGAUGUCUCUUUGGCUGCAGGAACUCGGGUCGUAGACGUGCAUUUGGGAUAUUAUGACCGGAGCUCGCCGCGACGGUCGUAACUGCGGGACCAUGGGCGUCCUCAGUUUUAUAGGUUUUGUUUAUGGCUUGUGACGCCUAAGUCACUUGUUAUUGUGUAAAGCCAUUUCUGUUAUGUAUUCAUAUUGAGAAAAGACUUAAACAGAUAGAUGUUAAAUGGCUCUUAUUGUUAUUAAUUUAUGAUAUACGUUUAAGAUGUGAUUUCCGCUA